UACAGAGGUGGCAAGCGUUGUUCGGAAUUACUGGGCGUAAAGGGCGCGUAGGCGGCCUACUAAGUCGGACGUGAAAGCCCCAGGCUUAACCUGGGAACUGCGUCCGAUACUGGGAGGCUUGGAUUCGGGAGAGGGAUGCGGAAUUCCAGGUGUAGCGGUGAAAUGCGUAGAUAUCUGGAGGAACACCGGUGGCGAAGGCGGCAUCCUGGACCGAGAUCGACGCUGAGGCGCGAAAGCUAGGGGAGCAAACGGG
RNAcentral lists this ribosomal RNA (253 nucleotides) under uncultured bacterium. RNAcentral describes it as "partial 16S ribosomal RNA". It matches the Rfam family "Bacterial small subunit ribosomal RNA", at positions 524 to 776 of the family's 1533-position model. The record is from RNAcentral.